GGAGAGUUGCGAGAGUGGUUGAAUCGGGCGGACUCGAAAUCCGUUGUACAGUUCUGCUGUACCGAGGGUUCGAAUCCCUCACUCUCCG
RNAcentral lists this transfer RNA (88 nucleotides) under Alkalispirochaeta alkalica. RNAcentral describes it as "tRNA-Ser". It matches the Rfam family "tRNA". Rfam says of the family: Transfer RNA (tRNA) molecules are approximately 80 nucleotides in length. Their secondary structure includes four short double-helical elements and three loops (D, anti-codon, and T loops). Lineage: Bacteria; Pseudomonadati; Spirochaetota; Spirochaetia; Spirochaetales; Spirochaetaceae. The record is from RNAcentral. RNAcentral also lists the same sequence under 1 other name.